This 393-nucleotide ribosomal RNA is filed under the name uncultured bacterium. RNAcentral's name for it is "partial 16S ribosomal RNA". It matches the Rfam family "Bacterial small subunit ribosomal RNA", at positions 523 to 918 of the family's 1533-position model. The record is from RNAcentral.
AUACGGAAGGUCCGGGCGUUAUCCGGAUUUAUUGGGUUUAAAGGGAGCGCAGGCGGAGAUGCAAGCGUGACGUCAAAUUUCGGGGCUCAACCCCGUCUCGCGUCGCGAACUGCGUCCCUUGGUUGCGGGAAGGGGAGGCGGAACUCGUGGUGUAGCGGUGGAAUGCAUAGAUAUCACGAAGAACUCCGAACGCGAAGGCAGCCUUCCGGCCCGUCAACGACGCUCAUGCUCGAAGGUGCGGGUAUCAAACAGGAUUAGAUACCCUGGUAGUCCGCACAGUAAACGAUGGACACCCGCGGUUUGGCCUGUAUGGCUGAGCCGCCAAGCGAAAGCGUUAAGUGUCCCACCUGGGGAGUACGCCGGCAACGGUGAAACUCAAAGGAAUUGACGGGG